GGCUACCACAUCCAAGGAAGGCAGCAGGCACGCAAAUUACCCAAUCCCAGUACUGGGAGGUAGUGACGAAAAAUAAGAAUGCGGGACUCUUUCGAGUCUGCGUAAUUGGAAUGAGCACACUUUAAAUCCUUUAGCAACAAACAAUUGGAGGGCAAGUCUGGUGCCAGCAGCCGCGGUAAUUCCAGCUCCAAUAGCGUAUAUUAAAGUUGUUGCGGUUAAAAAGCUCGUAGUUGGAGUUGAGUUGCGGACUGGAGUGGAAGGUGACCGCCCGGUGCUUUCCCUCUAGGCUCCGAACAGGUUCCUUUUGUGGGAGCCAAGCCGGUGUUUGGUGGGUGCUCUUUACCGAGUGUCUAUCGUGACCGGCCAGUUGACCUUGAAUAAAUGAGAGUGCUCAAAGCAGGCUACUCUUUGAUACAAUGCCCGAAUGUUAGCUGCAUGGAAUGAUGGAAGAUGAUUUGGGUUGCAUUUUGUUGGUGGUGGGAAGCCCAGUAAUGAUAAAGAGGGACUGUCGGGGGCAUCCGUACUACGACGCGAGAGGUGAAAUUG
Molecule: ribosomal RNA, 546 nt
Filed under: Macrobrachium carcinus
Lineage: Eukaryota; Metazoa; Arthropoda; Malacostraca; Decapoda; Palaemonidae
Also listed under: 1 other name
Description: bacterial SSU rRNA
Rfam family: Eukaryotic small subunit ribosomal RNA
Source: RNAcentral